This 69-nucleotide transfer RNA is filed under the name Fukomys damarensis (Damara mole-rat). It matches the Rfam family "tRNA". Rfam says of the family: Transfer RNA (tRNA) molecules are approximately 80 nucleotides in length. Their secondary structure includes four short double-helical elements and three loops (D, anti-codon, and T loops). Further hydrogen bonds mediate the characteristic L-shaped molecular structure. tRNAs have two regions of fundamental functional importance: the anti-codon, which is responsible for specific mRNA codon recognition, and the 3' end, to which the tRNAs corresponding amino acid is attached (by aminoacyl-tRNA synthetases). tRNAs cope with the degeneracy of the genetic code in two manners: having more than one tRNA (with a specific anti-codon) for a particular amino acid; and 'wobble' base-pairing, i.e. permitting non-standard base-pairing at the 3rd anti-codon position. The record is from Rfam by way of RNAcentral. Lineage: Eukaryota; Metazoa; Chordata; Mammalia; Rodentia; Bathyergidae.
GGGGAUGUAGUUUAGUAGUUGAGUACUUGCCUAGCAUGCUAGAGGCCCUGGGUUCAAUUCCCAGUACCA